UUGAUAGGGCUGCUAGGCAGGUCACUGUGAUAUAGUGAUUGUGGGACUUUGUCUCCGUCAAU
Molecule: transfer RNA, 62 nt
Filed under: Cryptocotyle lingua
Lineage: Eukaryota; Metazoa; Platyhelminthes; Trematoda; Opisthorchiida; Heterophyidae
Description: tRNA-Ile
Source: RNAcentral